This is a long non-coding RNA of Brassica napus (rape), 2149 nucleotides long. RefSeq lists it as uncharacterized. NCBI's taxonomy places the organism in Eukaryota, Viridiplantae, Streptophyta, Magnoliopsida, Brassicales, Brassicaceae. The record is from RefSeq and is a predicted model, not a curated record. The transcript has 2 exons.
ACUAUAUAAAAGAGACUAUUUUAAGAGCUCCUAAACUAUGCCACAUAGAUACAAAUAUUCCUGACCAAUUAAAAUGACAACUCAGCAUAAAGUUUAAGAAAAUCAGUAAACAGUAAAAGUAAAUCUGUAAAUCGACCAUUCUCCUCCUUAUCGAUUCAGUUUUUCCAGAUUUAGAUCAUACAUACCUUCUCAACUUCUUCUCAUUCUCUACCAGUUAACUUUUUCACUAUUUCAUAUUAACAUUUUCCAAAUCCUUUUCAAUCUCUUAUUUUGGCUCCCCCCCCCCUUCAUUCGUAUCUUCCAAGAAAAUCCAUAGCUCUUGGUUUUAAUUUCGGUGUUAUAGAAUUUUUAUUCCGUUCUGUGUUUUUUUUGGCUACAAAAUCUAUUCUAAUUUGAAAUUGAUCUACACCAGUGAGGAUCAGAGAUGAGUCCGAAAUGAAGGUGAACACGAAACUUAACAAUGAAAGAGUGACCUUAUGAACUUCAGAUUAAGGUUGAUGAUAAGACCGGUUCAAAUCUCCGAUGCUUACUUUAGACCUUUGGGUGUCGCUCCGCUAUGGCUUCUUCAUCUGUCAGUAUGUUCACCGUCUAUAUUCUAUCGCGUAUAUAUUUAUGUAUAUAUAUAGAAAUAUAUAUGUUUAAUCGACAAUUUAGAAACUUUGGGAAAAAAAUUCCUUUCCAAUGAUGUCUUAUGUUUUUGACUGAAUGGGUGAAAGUCAAAGCUAUCAAGGAAAUCCUAACCAUUAUGAACACACUGCUGCUUUGGGACAAAACUGUUAGAGAACGCCUUCGACGACUUUGGUAGCCCAUUACUCUAUUUGAGGAACAGGAAAUGGAGAGAAGAGGUGGGUUGGCUCGGCUUAUGGCUAGGCUUGAUAUUGGCGGCCAGUUGGAUAAACUGAUUUUUUUAAUCUUCAUGUGACUCAAAUAGUUUUCUACUAACUUGUGCGUGCAAAUAUUCAGUUCUUUCAAAAGUUAUUUUGUAAUAUAGUAAUUUACUUAAGAUAGAUAUGCUGGCCACUCCUGGUAGAUACCUAGCUUAUGACGAUCUUGACUUUUUCCUUCCCAUACGUUUGUUGACAAUUUACCUAUCUAUAUUGUGUUGCAGAUAAUUUAUAGUAACAUGUAUUUGUUGCACGAGAUCACUAGGAGACUUCCAGCUAAGACCAAAAAAAGCUCUUAACAAGUUCUCCUCUAUUUGACAUGUGGCGAAGAUAAGCUAUUUACAAAUUAUCCUCUACUUCUUCUGGUAACUAUGAAACUAAUUAGUUUAGAAUUCAGCUUAUACAUUUUGAGGAAGUAUGUCGGAUAUUUUGUAUAUUGUUCUUAGCUUAUCACUAUAUAGCCCUUGCUCUGACCAUUAUAUUUUCACAUAGGAAAACUGUAUUGGAUGAAACUUUGAUUUUUAUUUAUAUAUUUUAUUAUUUAUGUUUAAAUAUUUAGUUUAGUGAGGCCUAUAAACUGUAUAAUUGAUGAACUCAUCCAAACUUUACUAACAAUCUCAUUCAAAAUUAAUAUCUAGAAUUUUUGGAUGGAUUAUAAUUUGCAUUUGAUUACUUAAUCCAGCUCAUGCAAGUCAUCAAAUCAAACUUUUACAUCCAUUGCUAGAACAAUACAAACCAGCUAUUCAAGGAUUUUUUUUCUGGGAGUUACAUCAUGAAUGAUCUUCAUUAUUGUCAGGUGUCUACUCACAGAUAUAUGAAGACAAAAAAUAUAAAUGGUUUGUUUAUAUUACGUUUGGUGUUCUAUAUAAAUGUAAAUGAGCACCUUAUGACAACCACUGUACAACAGUGAUUAUAUAUAUCCAGUUUCCAGUUUUAAUUGAUGUGAUUCAGAACCUACGUUGGUCUGAGUUUAUCACUUGGUUGGCAUGUCUAUCAUAUGUUGCAGGAGCCUACAUUUUUUGUUUUAUAUAUUUUAGGAACCAAACACAAGGGGCAUAUUUUUGCUCCGUAUACACAAGCGGGUUAUCGACUUCUUCAGCUCUUUGGAUGUAGUGAAGCAGAUCACUUCAAUCACUAUUGAGCAUGGUACUGAAGACAAGUUCAACACAUCUGAUUCUUAGUGCAUACGUGGUUUAGUUUAUAAAUUGUCUUUGAAUUCCUACGACUUUGUCCUUUUUUGUUACAAGGUUCAGACUUCGUCUUCA